CGCUCUCCAUGAGAGCAUCGUCAAGAAACACGCUUCCGGAGGAGUACUGUCUGAGUCCUUUUUGGCUGCUAUAACAAAACGCCACAGACUAGGGGGCUGAUAAACAGCAGAAUUUUAUUUCUCACAGUUCUGGAGGUUGGAAGUCCAAAAUCAAGGUGCCAGCACGGUCAUGUUCUGGUGACGGCCCUCCUCCUGCUUCGUAGGUGCUGCCUUCUCACUGUGGCGGAAGGGGCAAGCAAGCUCUCUAGGGUCUCUUCGAUAAGGGCACCAAUCUCAGUGAUGAGGGCUCCACUCUCAGAUGUAAUCGCCUCCCAAAGGCCCACCUCCUAAUACCAUCACUUUGGGGGUUAGGAUUUCAGCAUACGAAUUUCAAGGAGACACAAACAUUUAGACCAGAGCAGAUACUACCAUCCUUUAUCAGCCAGUGCUCAGCUGAUCCUCCCGUGACCGACUCUGGAAUGGGCUUCGCAGGCCUCACUUACGGUCUUGCUCUGGAUCUGGGCUUUGCUCUCUCCUGGCCUGGCCACCUCACACUCAACUUCAGGUUUUGGCAGAGCCCCAACUACCUUCAACUCCCUCCAACCGUCAUGCUGCCUGUGCCCCAGAUCUCUUGGGAAACUGCCUGAAGAAGCAGUCUGUUGGCCACAGAAGAAACCAACCCUUCCCUUUAAUGGCCUCCCACAUCCUGAAAUAAACAGAAGCAAUGACCUAGAUAAGUCCCAGCCUGAUUCACCAGGUUUGGUCCCCAAUUGCUGAAAUUCCCUUCCCGGGGCUCUCAGGAACCAGGCCUGGGUAGAAGGAUUGGGUGGGACUGGCCCUGGGCCGUAUGGCAGGACGCCACAAGGAGCUAUAGGUCAGGAUCUGCGGUGAAGUUGAGGUCUUCCAACAGGACCAGGCUGAAAGGCAGACGCUAGGCCAGAGCACCAGGCCACCUGAACGUGUACAAGCUCAGAGCACAAACGGAGGCCACGGACCAUAUUCCUCAGUGUUUAAAAAUUAUGAAGAAAUUGAAGCCCAGAGACAUUAAGUAACCUUCCCAGGAUCACCAGCAGACACCUGGGUUUCUCCAGCAGCAACGACGAAGAGGGCAUGUGACAGACUGCAGCCACGUAUAAACUACCAUCCAGGAGUGUUCAACACAGCACACGGUCUGGCUGCACCUGAAUCAAAUCCGGUCAGUGAAAUGAACCCAGGCGUGCCCGACUGUCACGGGUAAACCGGAAUGGCGAGGUGGUGAAGGACAGUUUGGAGCAAUCACAUGGGAACUUAACUCUCCAAACCAUUACUGUCCUUUUCAAAGUCGGCCCCCUGGAGACUCCGCUUCUUCUGCCAGGGGCCUUCAACCCGGCACAUUGGAACCACCUGGGGAGUUUUACUGUACUGGUGCUCAGUCUGACUUCCCGAGAUUCUGCCUGAAUUAGGCAGGCGGGGCCCGGGCAUGGGGAUUUUUCAAAUCUUACCAGGUGGUUCUAACAUGCAGAGGGUUCAGAAUUACCGCUCCGAGACUUUUGGGAACUCUUCCCAUAGAAAAGCCUUCAAAGUCUGUGGUGCUUUCUUUUGAAUCUUGUCAACAGUAACCAAUCUUCUUCCUUUGAUGGAUUGGAUUUUGGAAAAACAGCUCAAGUCAUUCAGAACUGAGUCUGCAGAAUAAGAGUGAACUAUUUAUCGC
Molecule: long non-coding RNA, 1669 nt
Organism: Equus caballus (horse)
Lineage: Eukaryota; Metazoa; Chordata; Mammalia; Perissodactyla; Equidae
Source: Ensembl